UACGUAGGCAGCGAGCGUUGUUCGGAGUUACUGGGCGUAAAGGGUGUGUAGGCGGUUCUUUAAGUUUGGUGUGAAAUCUCCCGGCUCAACCGGGAGGGUGCGCCGAAUACUGAGGGACUCGAGUGCGGGAGAGGAAAGUGGAAUUCCUGGUGUAGCGGUGAAAUGCGUAGAUAUCAGGAGGAACACCGGUGGUGUAGACGGCUUUCUAGUACGGUACUGACGCUGAGACGCGAAAGCGUGGGGAGCGAACAGG
This 253-nucleotide ribosomal RNA is filed under the name uncultured bacterium. RNAcentral's name for it is "partial 16S ribosomal RNA". It matches the Rfam family "Bacterial small subunit ribosomal RNA", at positions 524 to 776 of the family's 1533-position model. The record is from RNAcentral.